RNAcentral lists this long non-coding RNA (1206 nucleotides) under Helianthus annuus (common sunflower). Lineage: Eukaryota; Viridiplantae; Streptophyta; Magnoliopsida; Asterales; Asteraceae. The record is from RNAcentral.
CCCCCCCCCCCCCCCCCGGUUGUUAAAUGUUGAACGAUCGGCCAUCACCAGAUGUUGGUUGACAUCGGACCGAGAUGGCAGACAGGAGAGAAAGAAAGGACGACGAGAAUGGGAGCGCCGCCGCCGCUCACGGCGGUGGCAGGGGUGACGACGGUGGUGUGAUGGUCCGAGGAGUCUCACGUCGGGGUUCGGUUCAGCGGUAGAGUUGGUGGUGGCGGUCGUGACGGGGUGGCAACGUUGGGGUUUUGACAGCAGAACCCUGGUAUCGAUGAUGACCGAUGAUGAACGUUGAUGAUGACGGCAGCGGCGGUCAGUUGUGGUGAAGAUACGGUUCUAAUUUUGGCUCAGGUUCGAGUCAACUUAGUCGGAUACUUAAACUCGAGUUAACUCAGUCAAACUCGGGUCAACACAGUCAAAGAAGGGUCUCGUUUUGGGGUUCUAUCAGGAUCAGUCAACAGUAGACAAACAAUCAACUGCGGUUUGGUCAAACAUCAAAUUCGGGGCAGAUUUAUUCGGGUUUCGGGUUAAACCCGGUUGGCUCGGUCAACACCCGAGUCAACUCGGGUCAACAGUGGUCAACGGACGGUCAACAGUCAAUGGUCAACUGCCUGGUCAAAACCAGUCAAUGCGUGACCCGGUAUCGAUGAUGACCGAUGAUGAACGUUGAUGAUGACGGCAGCGGCGGUCAGUUGUGGUGAAGAUACGGUUCUAAUUUUGGCUCAGGUUCGAGUCAACUUAGUCGGAUACUUAAACUCGAGUUAACUCAGUCAAACUCGGGUCAACACAGUCAAAGAAGGGUCUCGUUUUGGGGUUCUAUCAGGAUCAGUCAACAGUAGACAAACAAUCAACUGCGGUUUGGUCAAACAUCAAAUUCGGGGCAGAUUUAUUCGGGUUUCGGGUUAAACCCGGUUGGCUCGGUCAACACCCGAGUCAACUCGGGUCAACAGUGGUCAACGGACGGUCAACAGUCAAUGGUCAACUGCCUGGUCAAAACCAGUCAAUGCGUGACCCGGUAAAGUUAUAACGACAUGAAAUUUAGUUUGGUUCAAUAUAGAUUUUAUAUUUUUACGCGACCGAGCUUGAACCGAAUGCAUUUAGUGAACGAUUUUCAUUUUUGACAUACUUGACGAACAUUUUUAUACAUAAUGAAUGCUUUAGUUGCAUGCUAGCGAGUUCACAUUCUUGGAAUGACAUCACGGAAUCACG